UAGGGAAUCUUCGGCAAUGGACGAAAGUCUGACCGAGCAACGCCGCGUGAGUGAAGAAGGUCUUCGGAUCGUAAAACUCUGUUGGUAGAGAAGAACGUUGGUGAGAGUGGAAAGCUCAUCAAGUGACGGUAACUACCCAGAAAGGGACGGCUAACUACGUGC
This 162-nucleotide ribosomal RNA is filed under the name uncultured bacterium. RNAcentral's name for it is "partial 16S ribosomal RNA". It matches the Rfam family "Bacterial small subunit ribosomal RNA", at positions 355 to 508 of the family's 1533-position model. The record is from RNAcentral.